This 37375-nucleotide long non-coding RNA is filed under the name Phaseolus vulgaris (common bean). RNAcentral describes it as "long non-coding RNA (PVUL_LNC000376)". The record is from RNAcentral. Lineage: Eukaryota; Viridiplantae; Streptophyta; Magnoliopsida; Fabales; Fabaceae.
AAGAUAGUGUUGUCAUUGCUUCUGCAGAAUUUCUCGUUCGAGCUUUCUCCUGUCUAUGUACAUGCUCCUGCACUUAUGCUUACUUUGCAGCCCAAACAGGGGGCGCCCCUUAUUGUGCGAAAGCUAUGAUACUUAAUCAUAUUUUGACCUAGAAGGUCAUGGUUUGUAGGUUGAUUCAAAGUAUGUAUCUUUUAAGAACUUGUUUGUAAUGCAUGUGUUUGAAUUGCGUCACGUGGUUUAGUGACAAAGUAUUAUUGGUUGAUGCAUAACGAAAAGAAACAAAUACUUUUGUUCUUAUAAAUUAUCCAAGACCGAAUGUCACUAUCAAGUUGUUUCUGUCUUCUCUUCAUUCCGAACAAUCUUUUAGAAUUAUGAGAGGGCGGGGUACCUGUAAAGAUACUCUUACGUUCAACAUAGACGAGUUCUAUAAGGAAAGCCAAAUGCAAGGUUCAGAGUAAUGCUACCUUUUACCAUGGAGGUCCCCUCUUAUUUAUAUUGCUUUGGUGGGCCUUAAUUUGUUAGAGCGGUUAAAUCGGACCCAAUAAGAGAUAAUCUUGCUUUGCUACCUCCUAAUUGAAAUUAGCACCCUUAUCCUGUGAUUUGACGUGGAUGCUGGUUUGUGCCAAAAGGCCAUUAGGACGUCUGAUUGGGCUACCAUUCGAAUUUCAGGUUCGUGGUAUAACACUUGCUCCCAGGCUUGAGUCUUUGUGAGAAAAAGAAAAGUCGUGAAACGGGAUUCAGCCGCAUUGUCAAUCGUUAAGCGUUUAACCGUGGGGUAUGGCAUUUUGUUUAUGGUGGUGAUGACGCGACAUGUGAUUGACAUAUCGUGUCAGUUCCUUUCUCUCCUUUUAUGCUUUAUCUGGUCAUCUCCUCGGCCUACUUAAGGUAACCAGCCAUGUCUUCUUCUACAUCUGAUAGCUCUACCCUAAGAGCAAGGUUAUCAAACUUGCGGGUUGACUCUUAAACUCGUUCGAGUUUAAGAGUCUAGUGGUGACUCACGAGUUAACUCGUGAGUAGACUCGUUUUUUGCAAACUCGGAGUGGACUCAAGCAGACUUGCUGAACUCGGUGCAAACUCGCGAGUUGGAGCCCAAGUCAACGAGUUCACCUUGCCUCGUGUUUUCGAAGUCUCAAAUCUCCACGCCUCGCCUCCACUGUGCUUCGCCUUACCUUCAUCGUGUCUCGCCUCGCCGCACUUCCUUGCGCUUCUUCGCUCCUCGUUGCAGCCCCGUUCAGGUCUGCGAUUAGGUUGGGUUGUGCUAUUGCAGUGCAUGGCUGUGGAUUUGAGGGGUUGGGAAAUUUUAAUUUUAGGGUUUGUUUAUAGGGGAAGAUUGGGGGUGUGCAGCUGUGGGUUGAGAAGUUGGAAAAUAUUAACUUUAGGUUUGUUGAUAGGGGCAAAUUGGGAAUUAUCCUGAAAGUGAUUUUUAAAGUAUUGGGUCAGAUAUUUUUUGAAAUAAGAUUAGGAUAAAAUUAUUUUUUAUUAUUUUGAUUUUGGUUAGUACAAUGAAAAUGUGGAAUUACUGCUCAAAUGUGUAACAAGUGAAAUGUAAUUAUGCUUUAAAAACAUUUAAUAGAUAUAUUUAAUAUUAUAGAAUUGGUAUAUGAAUAUUUUUUUAUUGAAUUUUUACACAAAGUAGAUUCUUACGAGUCUAUUAGUCGGGUUUACGAGUCGAGUUUACCGACCUUCCAGGAGUCUACUUAGACUCUCGAGUUUGAUAACUUUUCCUAAAAGUGUCUAGAAUUGAUGGCACCAUUUUGUAGUGUGAGGUUGUUCAUCUCUUGGACACUGAUUCGACCAAUUCUGAGAGUUCUUCAGAGUCUUUUCAUGUCAGCGAUAAUGCUGUAGCGGGUGUGGCUGCCGAGGAUGUUCGUCCUUCGGCCGUCCCAAUCACCGAUGCUGCCAAACAAGGUGCCCUAUCUAUCCGGAAAAUCGAGUAUGAGUAGGUUGACAUCAACGUACGAAAGCAUAUUUCUCGAUUUGGCACAACCACCUCGUUGAAGUCCUUUAGCGCUAGUGUAGAUAUGUUGAAUUCGGAUGCCACGAAUGGGACUGUUUCCAUUCGAAGGUGUUCGUCUUUCGACGUUGUACCGUCACUUUUGAAGAGGGGAAAGCUCUUCUAUAAGGAGCUUCGAAGACAAAGACGGGAUGUUGUCGGCCAAGCUCUUCUUGCUCAAGUCGAAAUUGUGGAACCGUUGCGUUCGGUUCCGGCUAGAGAGACACUUCCACCUCUGACUCCGCUUAAGGUUGGGAGGAAAAAAGAACAUGAGAAAUCAUCCCGUCGCUAUUUUGAUAGGUCAUCAUCCGAGAGAUCCCAUAAGCGGUCACAUAUUGAGGCCGGUACUAGCUCGUCUCGGGACUUCCUUGGCCCGAAUCUCCAUUUUGGUGACAGGAUCUCAAUCUUGCCGGGCUCGGCAAACAAGGAGGAUGUGAAGUUGGCGACAUCUUCUAAAUUGGCCUAAUCAAUCUUGGAGUUGAGCGCUCGAGUUCUUGUUCUCGGCAAACGAAUGGGUAUCGCUCUCAAGGCUCAAUUGGCCGAGUCCACCUCCUCACUUUGUUAUUAUUAUGAGACAGAGGAAAUUAAAGGUUCUGAUAUAAACUAAUGUAUAUUAUUGUGUGUUGAUAAAGAAGCAAUUUAUACAUAGGGUAACACAUGGGUACCCUUAACAGCCCCCCCCUAAAUGCAUGGUUGGAUUAGCUAUAAUCAUGAGUUUAUCCCGUACAUGAAGAAACAAUAUGCCAGAAACAGGCUUGGUAAGUGGAUCAACAACUUGAAAGCGUGCAGGAAGAUGAAGAAGUUGAAUUUUCUGCUUCUAAACUUGAUCACGAACAAAGUGUAGGUCCGGUUCAAAGUAUUUCGUUUUAGAGUGCAUAACAGGAUUUGUAUUGAGCAGAACAACACCAAGAUUAUCAUAAUACAACUUUGUUUUUGAAACUUGAAUGCGCAGCUCAGAAAGAAGAGACUGAAUCCACACAAUUUCAGCAAGGAGAGCUGCAACUGCCCGAUAUUCUGCUUCCAUACUACUUAUGUAAACCGUUUUCUGUUUGUGGGAUGACCAUGAAAUAAGAUUAUAGCCCAUGAAAAUACAAUAGCCAGUGGUGGAUUUGCGGUCAUCGACGUCAGCACCCCAAUCUGCAUCUGCAAAGCCAAUAAGAGAGGUUGUCGAGUUGUGGCGAAGGAGCAAUCCAUGUGUAAUGGUGCCAGCUAAAUAACAAAGAAUUCUCUUUACAGCUUGCCAGUGGUGAAGUUUCGGAUCAGGCAUAAAUUGACAAACACGAUUAACAGAGUAAGAGAGUUCAGGCCUAGUUAUAAGAAGAUAUUGAAGUGUACCAACAACUGACCUAUACAGUGAAGGAUCAUUGAAUGAUUCAGAAGAAUUUUUUUGGAGACGCGAAGAGGAUGUCAUAGGCGCGGGUUGAGGUUUAGCAUGGAACAUAUUUGUUUUCUGUAACAGCUCACGUAUGUGUUGAACCAAGUGGUGUUCAUGUUUUGAAGAAUCCAAAUCCUUUGAAGGAUGUUGAAGUCUCUGCUAUGCUUGAUGUUGUUGUGCUGGUUUAAAGCUUUGUUCUGGGGCAGUUUAUAUGUUGUAAUCCACCCUGUGAUUAAAUCUAAAGCAUUAGCAUUCUCAAUCUUUGUGAAAGUAAAAUGUUUUCAAACUAAGUUAAAACAACCGAUUGUUUUGUCGAAACAACCGAUUGUUUAUACUUAGGUGUUUUGAGAAAAAGAUUGAAAACUGUUUUUAAUGGUUGAACUGUUAAAGUACCAAAACAACCGAUUGAUUCUAGGAAACAACCGAUUGAUUCGAGGAAACAACCGAUUGUUUGUUUUGGGACCAUAACAGAAAAAUUGUUUUCUCUUUGACUGAGCUUUAAAUGUUUUAACUACUUACGCUCUAGUCAUUAAAUGCUUUGACCAAUCUUUUAAUGCAAUUUAAGAGUUUAUUAAGAUUUGAUAACAAACUACAUCUUUGAAUAAUUUAAAAAAAAAAAAACAGAUUUGACAAUUAAGAAUUUCUGACAAAGUUUUUCCAAAUAGUUUUUUCAAAGUGCUGAGAUUGCUAAGAGUUUGUUAUUGGUCAAAGUGUUGGAAUAUGAUUCUGCUUGUAUUGAUUUCAGAUUAUCUUCUGUAACAAGUGUAAUCCUUGUACUCUAUUGAACAAUUCGGUUCUGUGUUUGCUGAGAUUGGCUGUGUGUUCUUGAGGUGUUCAAGAUCAGCAAUCUUAGUGUAGGCCAAGGAGAGUGUGUUUCUUGAGGUGUUCAAGGUCAUUCUCUUGGUUGUUGUGUAAGUGAUCAAGUGGUGAUUGCUUAGUGGAUUUCCUCAGGGUUUCUGAGAAGACUGGAUGUAGCUCUGGUUUGGAGUGAACCGGUAUAAACAACUGUGUACAAUCUCUUUAUCUCUAACUCUUUAAAUUCAGUUUAUUUGUUGUUUGCUGGUAUAAACAACCGAUUGUUUCUACGAAACAACCGAUUGUUUUUCUGGUACUACAGCUUUUGCUUGCUGUUUUGGCUAACUGAAUUGCUGAAUCAAUUGGUUCCUGAGAUAAAUUCAUGGAGAAGGUUGGAAAAAACAUGUUUAAACAAAUUCACCCCGCCCGCGCCUGUGGUUUAAAGCCAUGUUUUCUAACAAUUGGCAUCAAGAGCUUGGUUCUUGAAAGUUAUUCAAGUUGAUCCUAAAAUUCUUUUUAAAUGGCUGAUAGACUACCUUUUUGGGAAGGUGCUUCAAUUAACAUACCACCUUUGUUUUGUGGUUUGAACUACCAGUUUUGGAAAGUAAGAAUGAAAAUAUUUAUGGAAUCUCUUGACAAAGGAAUUUGGGAUGCAAUUGAAAAUGGUCUUUUUAUCCCAAAGUUUGAAAAGGAUGGAUCUGUCAUUGAGAAGCCAUGGUCUCAAUGGACUGAUGUAGAAAGCAAAAAGGCCAAAUUCGAUUGCAUUGCCAAAAAUAUUAUAACCUCUGCUUUAAAUUCUGAUGAGUUUUUCAGGGUCUCGCAAUGCAAAUCAUCAAAAGAAAUGUGGGACACUUUGGAAGUCACUCAUGAAGGAACAAAUGAGGUGAAAAGAGCUAGAAAGCAUGCUCUCAUCCAAGAGUAUGAGAUGUUUAGAAUGCUUAAAGGAGAAACAAUUGCUGAGGUGCAGAAAAGGUUUACGCACAUCAUCAAUCACCUUAUGAGCCUAGACAAGACCUUUGAUAAAGAAGAGCUGAACAUCAAGAUCUUGAAAUGUCUUGAUAGAGCAUGACAACCAAAGGUAACUGCUAUUUCCGAAUCUAAAGAUCUAACAUCAUUAAGUGUUGCUUCUUUGUUUGGAAAGCUUAGGGAACAUGAGUUAAAGAUGAAUAGACUCAACGUUCAAGAGAGUGAAGAUAAGCACACAAGGAGCAUAGCCUUGAAAGCAUCCAAACACAAGGGAAAUCAAGAUUCUAGUGAUGAUAGUGAUGAGGAAAACCUUAGCUUGCUAUCAAGAAAAUUCAGCAAAUUCCUAAAGAGAAACCGCAACAAAGACAACAACAAGGAUAGGUAUGGAAACAAGAAACCCAAUGAAUUCAAUUCAAAUAACUAUACUUGUUUUGGUUGUGGUCAGCAAGGUCAUAUAAAGGCAGAUUGUCCUAACAAGAGCAAAGAGAUAAAGACUAGUUACAAGGAAAAGAAAGGCAAGACAAAAAGAGCCUACAUAGCUUGGGAUGAAAAUGAGGUGUCAUCAUCAGGUUCUUCAUCAAGUGAAGAUGAAAAAGCAAACAUAUGUUUGGUAGCUGAAAAUGAUGAUGAAUCUUGCAGCUCAAGUGAGGUAAGUUCACGUGCUUCCUUAAAUGAACAAAAUUAUAGUGAAUUACUUGAAGUUUUUCAAGAAACACAUGAUGAAGCUAAUAGAUUGGUUCUUUCAACAACCGAUUGAAAGAUCUUAACAGUUGGCUUGAAAAGAAAGUUAAAUCACCUGAAGAGGAUCUGGAAAAAGCAAAAAGUGAUUUUGAAAAAUUGGAAAAUCAUUUCAAAAAUGCCUCUUACAAGUGUGAUACUCUCAUUUGCACAAAUUGUGAAAAUCUUGAGAAAAAGGUUCACUAUCUUAUUGAAACUGUGGACAAACUUUCAAAGGGGAAAUCAAACUUUGAGAAUGUCUUGGCAUCUCAAAGCUGUGUUUUUGGAAAGGCUGGUUUAGGCUUUAAUCCACAGAACAAGCAAGAUAGGUUUUCAAAUUUUUUUUCAAGAAAAUUAGAAAAACAACCGAUUGUUAAGACGAAACAACCGGUUGUUACAUGCUUUUACUACAUGAAGAAAGGUCACUCUGUUAGGUUCUGUAAAAUUAGAAAAUAUUCUGCUCCAAGAGGUUUUAUGAAAUGGAUUCCUAAGGGAUGUGAUGUUUCUAACUGCAAAGAAAAGUCAAACGGACCCAAAUUUGUAAGGGGACCAAAUCUUGCUACUUGAAAUUGUUUAUGCAGGAAAAAUAAAGAGAAAAAGAAGAACUGAGUCAUCUGAUCAAGUUGUUGAAGAAAAAGGCAGUCAUUGAAGUUGAAUCAAUACUAUGCAAAAGACCUCAACAGUGAAAAGAAGCUUCUUGAUCAAAAAGCACAUGGCUCAUUGAAUAAUCAACAUAAGGAUAAGACUUUCCUUUAUUUCUUCUCAAUUUCUGUUUCAAAGUUCUUUCUUAUGGUUAAACAAUUAUUUUUUAAUCAAUGUCAUCUGCUUUAAACUGCUUCUGCUCAUGGUUAAAAUUCAAAAUCAAGUUUUUAACUGCUGCAGAAAAACUACCAAUUGUUUCUUCGAAACAACCGAUUGUUUUGAGUCUGACAACACUAUGAAGAAAUUGUUUUAAUUGCUAUUUUGAAUUUCUAUCCCUUGCAGAUCAAUUUAAAAGAGAGACUCUUGGUCAAAGGAUCUAUGUUGAAAGCUGAUUAUGUUCAGAAAGAAGUUACAACAGUUAUAAAGGAAUAUAUUCCAAAAUCUUGGAAAUUCAAGAGCCUUAAUGACUAGUCAAAGAUCACAUGUGAAGACCAUGUGAUUUUUCAGCUUUUUCUGACAUUUUCUGUGCAGAGUAGAGUCAAGUCCUCACUCUUUGAAAACCAGGUACCAAUUAAUGAAAUUAAAUUCAUAUUGAUUCUCUUACUGCUAUAAAAUCUGGUGCAGAUUUCUUCCACAAGAACAACCAAUUGCAACAUCUCUUGCAAUAUCUCUUGCAACAUCUCUUGCAAAAAUCUGUGAAGUGUGCUCUCCUCUGUUUUCGUCUCUGCUGUCAUGGAAUCAACUCCUCCCACCUCAAAGAGAGUCAAAACCAGGGCUGUAAGGUCUGGAGGAAGGCUAGAAGGCUGGUUUUCUGGAGACAAUGAUCUCAUUGAGAAGUAUAGGUAUGAAACAAGUAUCAAGAAGAUAAACAACCCCAAGGUUGUAUGCUUUGAUUGGCUGAAAAGUCAAAAGCUUGAUAAUGUGAGAAGGUUGCUCAAGGAUCAAUCUCUCAGAAAGUUCCUGGAGAUGAAGGGAAACAUUUAUCCAGAUUUGGUGAGGGUGUUCUACACAAACUUGAAUUUUGAGGGAAACAAUCUAGUUUCUCAUGUGAAAGGUGUACAAAUGGAGAUAACUCAUGAAGUAUGGACUGCUGUUGCUGGACUUAAGUUCUCUGGUCUGAGAAUCAACAAGGGAAACCUUGGUUUGGUGGAGGAUUUUAACAAAAUCCAAUUCUACAAAAGUUGCUUGAAGAAUAAUCAUGCUCAAGUUAGUACAUGCUCGGUUGGAGGUUUGAAACUUGAUGAGAGAUUGCUUGCUCUCAUUGUAACUUGGAUUCUAACUCCAAGGGGGAGUAAUCAUUCUGUGCUAACUGAAGAAGAUCUGGUUUAUAUCUUCUGCAUCACCAAGAAAGUCAAGAUCAAUUGGAUUCAUAUAAUCAAAGAACACAUGCAAAAAGCCAUGAGGUUAGGUGAUUAUCAUUAUCCAUAUGCUGUUUUGAUAUCUAAAUUUCUACUCUAUUUUGAAGUUAAUCUUGAAGAUGAAACUUCUGAGCUGGUCAAGUCAACUCAAGAGUUGAACAAUGGAUCACUCAGCAAGAUGGGUUUUACAAAAGUAGGUGGAAAAUGGAUAAGCAAGGAUGGUGAUCAUGGUGCCUCAUCUAGUGGUGCUGCUAAUCUUGAACAAGAUGAACCUGCUGAUAUGGAUGUUCAACAUGAAGAUCCACCUGAAGAUUUUCAAGAUGUUGGACCAAGUGCUGGUGAUGGACAUCAAGGAGAAAGGAUGCAAACCAUGUCGCCUUUUGAAAGACUCAUGGUGAAUAGGUUUGAUAGCUUUGCUGAAAAUCAAAGGAGCCUCCAUGAUCUCUGUGUUAGUAAUUUCCAAAGGAUUGACACCAGGUUUGACAAUAUGGAUGCAAGGUUUAUGACUCUGGAUGAACAGAUUGAAGUUGUUCAGAAUUAAAUCUUUGAUCUUCAGUUUGCUGAUGAAGAAGAAUGAAGGAAAAACAACCGAUUGUUUUUCUGGUACUAUAACUUUUGCUUGCUGUUUUGGCUAACUGAAUUGCUGAAUCAAUUGGUUCCUUAGAUAAAUUCAUUCUAGUUUUGAAAAGUUUGCGAAAACCCUCUUUAAACAAUUCACCCACCCUCUAGUUUAAAGCCAUCUUUUCUAACAGUAUGUAUUGGUCCUGAGAGAGAUGCAUGCCACCAGUAGAUGUUCGAGACACUUGAAUUCCUAAAAAAUGAUGAAGACUACCUAAAUCUUUUAAUGCAAAAGAACUCAAAGUGACAAUGAGGUUAGUAAUUCCAGUAGGUGAAGAUGCAGUGAUGAUUAUAUCAUCAACAUAAACCAGCACAAACAUAGUAUAAGACGAAGUAAAUUUAGUAAACACAGAGGUAUCACUUACUGUAGGACAAAAACCAAUAUCACAUAAAGUUGUGCUAUGUUUAGAAAAGCAGGAACUGGGUGCUUGCUUGAGGCCAUAGAUUGCCUUGUGUAAUUGACAUACAAGAGUGGGAUCAUGGGAGAUAAAACCAGGUGGUUGCUGCAUAUACACACGUUCAUUGAGAUCACCAUGGAGGAAAGCAUUAUCAAUGUCCACUUGACGAAUAGGCCAGUUAUUUGUAACAACAUGCGAAAGAACAAUGCGAAUCGUAGUGGGUUUGACUACAAGACUGAAGGUCUCACUAUAGUCAAGCCCCUCAGUUUGAUUGAAGCCUUUGGCAACAAGGCGUGCCUUGCAACGUUGAAAAGAGCCAUUUGCAUGCAAUUUGGUUUUAAAAAUUCAUUUACAACCUACCAGAGAGGCAUUGGAUGGGAGAGAAGUGAGAGUCCACGUAUUAUUUUUUAGGAGAGCUUGAUACUCAUCAGUCAUUGCUUGGGACCAUACGAGAGAAGCCAUAACUUCCUUGACAGAAGAAGGAGGAGAAGGAAUAGUAGAAACAACAGUAUAAAUUUUGGGUUUAAUGAUGCCUACCUUUGGCACGAGUGGUCAAGGGAUGAGUGUUAGUAGGAGCAGGAAUAGAAGGAAGACAUUCAAUAUUACUAGUUGCAGAAGCACCAAUGUCAGUAGUGGAAUUGCUAAUGUUACCAGUUGCAGAAGCACCAAUGUCAGUAGUAGAAUUGCUAUCAGAAACAACAUGCUCAUUAAAAGAAUUAGUAUUUGUAUGAAAAACAAUCAAAGUGGGUGAAAUAUCAAGUGGGUGCUUACGAGAAACAGUAGGCAUAGCAAAACUAUUUGAGUUCUCGUUAUAUGGAAAAGUAGUUUCAUCAAAACGAAGAUGAUGAGAAACAAUAGUCUUACCAGUGGGCAUGAGACAAAUAUAGCCUCCAUUAGUUGGACUGUAUCCAAGAAAGAGACAACACUGUGAUCUAAAAUCAAACUUAUGACUAUUAUAGGGGCGUAAAUUUGGAUAACAAGCACAACCAAACACUUUGAAAACAUUAUAAUCAGGUUUGCGUUUAAACAACCUAGCAUAAGGAUUAUCACCAUUCAAUACAGGGGUGGGAAGAGCAUUGAUAAUGUGGGUGGAAGUUAUGAAGGCUUUUGCCCAGAAACGACGAGGCAAAGAAAUAGUGGCAAGAAGCGUUAGGCCCAUAUCAACAAUAUGCAUGUGCUUUCGUUCAACAAAUCCAUUUUGUUCAUGGGUGUAGGGACAUGUAAGUCUAUGUUGAAUGCCAUCAUGUUCAAGAAAAGGUUAAAGGCAAAGAUAUUCUUUGGCAUUAUCAGUUUGAAUAGUGGAAAGUUUAGAAUUUGUUUGGUUUUCAGCAAAACUUUUGAAUUUUUUAAACACGGAGGAAACCUGAGAUUUAGUAUGAAGAACAUAUAUCCAUGUAUAUUUUGUGUAAGCAUCAAGAAAAGAGAUGUAAUACCUUGCACCAUUUGAAGCAGGUAUAGGAGCAGGGCCCCAUACAUCAACAAACACAAGUUCCAACGGACGAGAGUAAAUGGUAACAAAAGAAGUAAAAGGAAGUUGUUUACCAAGCAUACAAGCAGAGCAAAAUUUGAUAUCAGAAGAACAACAUAUAUUACAAUUCUGUAAAAUUUGUUUUAAUGUGUCAGAAUGACAGUGACCAAAGCGUUCAUGCCAGACAUUGACUGUGAGUUUAUUAUCUACAAAUGAAGUAUGAAAAACAGAGGACAUAUGAGGAGUGUGCAUGGUUGGAAAAGUGUAGAGACCAUCCUUAAGAAUGCUGCGAAGAAGAACUUUUUUCGUAGCCUGAUCAACAACACAACAAUGGUUAACAUGGAAUUGAAAAUACACAUGAUUGUCACGAGCAAACUGAGAAACACUAAGUAAGUUCUUAGUUAUCAGUAGAACAUGUAUUAUAUUGCGCAAUAGUAAACGAAAAGUUGCAGAUCUAGUAAUAGCAAUAAACAAACCUGAGCCAUUACCCAUUUUAAUAGUUUCCGUGCCUUAGUAAGGGUGCUUGGUUGAGUAGACAGUGGGAUCUUUCGUUACAUGAUGUGUAACACCACUCUCUGGGUACCAAAGCGGAUCCUCAUCAGUGGAAUGAAUGCCCAUAAGAGACGCAUUGUUGGGUUGAGUGUCUGAGAUCGAAAACUGAGAAAAAUUAGCACGAGGAGGUGGAUUGGGUUUGUGGUCAUACCAUUGCUAGCACUGAAGAGUAGCAUACCAUAUUUGCCACUAACUUGACACGUUGGUUUGGAAGAGGUCCAAGAACCACGGGUUUGAGAACGGGAGAUGCGAGAACCACAUGCAAAAUUUUGGGAGCGAGAAAACCCACGACCACCACGAUUGCUAUGGAACUUGAGAUUGACUUUUUCAUUUGUGGGAUUCGAAGGCGUCCAAGUUGUGAGAGCGACAGUUGCAGGAAAACUGAGAGGAUCGAGUUGAUGAUGGCAUUCAAGACGUUUUUCUUGUACCAGAAGCAGAGCUUCAAUCUCUGCAACUUUGUAAGGAUUAAAAUCAGGAGGAAGACCAUCAAGAAUGGUUUCGAUGUGAUCUUCAACGGAUAUAGGGGCACCAACUGCAGCCAGCGCAUCCACCGUGCGUUUGAUAUCCAAAACGUAUGCAGAGAUAGAACAAUCUUUCUUUAGAUUCUUUAAAAGGAGUUUCAAUUUCUUGAUCUGGGCUUGAAAAUUACGUGUUUAGCGUCUUCUAGAUCUGGGCUACAGAGGUAAGACCCACCAUUUGGGUUAAAAUCGGAGUGGUCAUGGACGCUAGAAGCCAUGCAACCGACAAAUUAUCUUAUUGCUUGUAAGAGAUGAAUGCAAGAUUGGGGCUGAGGGUGCCAUCGGCAGCAAAAAGACAGUGCAGAGGAACAUUAGUUCCGUCAAGAAACGAGGAAAGCAGCAACCCAUCAACAAUGGCCAGAACCUGUUGUUUCCAUAACAUAAAAUUUUUGUCAUCUAGUUUGAGCGGAAGAGGAGUAAUAAGGUGAUGUAGGGAGACGGAGGAGGAACUCUUGGUGGAGAGAACCUGGGUGGACGAAGAGGAUGAUGUAGAAGAAGGAGAAGGAGGAUGAGUGAAAGCCAUGAAAGAAAAAUGAAAAGGAACUUUCUAGCUCAUGAUACCAUGUUAUUAUGAUGAGAAAGGAUAGGAAAGGUUCUGAUAUAAACUGAUGUCUGUUACUGUGUGUUGAUAAAGAAGCAAUUUAUACAUAGGGUAACACAUGGGUACCCUUAACACACUUCAAUAUGCAGUCGACACAAACAUUUCCUUGAUCACUCAAAACAAAGACUUGGCGGCCGAACUGGCUAGGUUGAAGGUGGAGAGUGAUGGGCUACUCUCCCGCUGCCAUGAUGCCAAGGACAAAGAGAAUGGCUAUCUGUCAAGGUAAAAAGCUUAAAGCAAAGUUUGAUUGACGUAACUGCUUUCGAGCAAGAGAAGAAUGAACAACUUCACGCGACUUUACAUAAAUACUGUAUGGUUUAGAAUGGGCCAAGUUGAAAAAUACUUUUUUUCUUUUUCACAAUCGAUUGUGAUUUAAUACCUGACUCAGUUUAUUUCGACUGAACCAAGAAUGAAUGGAGCUUAAAGAUCAACACCCUAAAAUAGUUGAACUAACUAUAAAGAUAAUUUAAGAGUUUUAUUAUUUAAUUUAUUAAUUUAUAAUAUUUUAUGCCAAAAUUUAGUUAAGUGGCAAAAGAAAAUAUAAUAUUUUUAAAAUUUAUUAUAUAUUUUUAAUUUUACUUAUAAAUUUUAUUUUUAUUAACAGGCAAGAGACAUUUUGUUUGAGACACUUCAUUUCUAGAUGUUGAACUCUGUAACAUCCUAAAAUAUAUAAAUUAUAUUUUAAAAGAAAAUAAAAUAAAAUCGUAUUCUUGACAUUUUUUUUUUACAAGUACAGUUAGCAACAAUAGAAAGAUGCUUCUGAUCCAUACAAAAAUAAUUAACGCCUAUUGGGGGUAGAGAGGGAGUUAUGAGGAAAACAGAUAGGAAGAAACAGAUUUAAGAAGCUAAAAACAAUCAUUUCGUAUAUUAUCAAAAUAUACCACCAAGGGUAUAUUUAUAGAAUAUAACAAUAUUGUAUAUUCAGAAAACUAAAUACAACUUAUAAAUAUCCCUAAAUAUCCAUGUAUAAGGCAAGCAUUAGAUGGGCUCACAUACAUACUUAACAUCCCUCCUUAAACUUAUGGUGGAAUUAAUUACUACCAUAAGUUUAUCUCUAAAAUGAGUAAAAACUGACUUAGAGAGCGGUUUGGUAAGCACAUCAGCUACUUGAUAUCGUGCACGAAGGUGAACCAAAGACACUUUCUUCUUUUGAACAUAGUCUCGAACAAAAUGUGUACCGACCAGGUAGUCGGGAGCGAUGACGUGGCAGCAAGCGAUAAUAUAGGCAUGUUAAGCGGAACACCUGGCUGACGAAAGGGAAGGACAUCGGGAAGUUCGUGUAGUCGCCAAUCGUUAAGUUGGCGUGCUCCGAUCUCUAGCAUAUCUAAACCGGCGGUCACCAGGCUUGUGUCGUAGUCGCCGUAUGUGAGCGUAGGCGACCAAGUGGUCAGAGAUCGCCGAGAGGGGGACAUCGCCGAAAGAUCAGGAAAGCUUGUUCAAGGCCUUCAAAGGACACGAGUAUGGCAGAUGAAGUUAUCAGAUGAUCAUCCCCUAGCCAGAGGUUGAGGCCAAGGAACAGUUUACCAGAACAUGCACGAUGAGCAAGUAAUGCAGAUCGUGAUAGCGGCAGGCGAGACCACAGAGAAGGUGUGCAUGGUGACACCCCGUGCUCGCCAUUAGAAGAGAUCGCGCUCCAAGGCAACUAUGCACCGAGUUGCUCCUCACCUGAGUAACUUAGUCGAACAGCCUGAAGAGUAGAAGUGGCGCUCAAGCAGAAGACGUUCCAGAUGGUGACACGUGUACAGCUGGAUGCGAGCCACGUGUCCAGAGGUGUAACCGUCAGGAGAGAGAAAAUGCACAGGUAUAUAAGGAACUCUUAACAGAUUCUGAGGUACGCGCGUUUAGAACACUUCUCUACGCUUUGAGAAUACUUGAGUACACUGAGAGAGUUUUUGCACGGUCCCUUGAGUUUCUAGCUUUUCUCUCUUAGAGUUUUGGUGAUUCCGUCACUGACUUGAGCGUCGGAGCGCGAUCGGCCGCAGCGGCGCCACUCUGUAUUUUGCAGGUUCUUGAGGAGAAUCGAGGUGUGAAGGACGGAAGCUAGCGUGGUGCAAAGCCGAUCCAGAGGAAGAUACCUUUGACGUGGCAAGACUCUUGCGCUCUGGUCAACCGGUAGGAUCAUCAGGCGCCCACCGUGGGGCCGUGUAAAACCUGUCCCCAUCCACAGUGUGAGUUCUUGAAGUUUCUGUGUGGUUGUGUGCUGGUGCAACCAUUUUCCACCGUUCGUUCGAGCUUUGUUCGGUGAAUUCGAGUUUCCCGCCGUUCGUUUGGGUUUUAAUCGGUAGUUUGAAGUUUUCCACCGUUCGUUCGAGCUUUCGAUCGGUUUCUUGAAGUUUCUUGCUGAUUGCGCGGUUUUCAAUCGGUUGAUUCGAUGUUUUACCGUUCGUUCGCGUUUCUAGUUGGUGAAUCGGGAGUUUUGCUGGAGGAGCGGUAGGUUCGUGGUAAGAUUGCAAGUUUCUGUGAAAGUUUCGACGUCCGAAUCUAUCGGCGUGUUGUUGUGGUUGCGUUCUUGGAAGUUCUUGGGAGUUUGAGAGUUUCUGACCGAUUGAUUGCUGGAUCGAUCGUUUGCUGGUGAAGGUCUUGUUCGCUGAAGUUUGGUUUGCUGAGUUUUCAUGAGAAAGAUGAGAAGCAACCGUUCAAGUCCCGUUGUGCCCGUUGCUGCAGAAGGCGUCAUGACCAUGGCACAGAUGAUGGAGAUCAUGCGUGCGCUGCAGGCGAAUGUGGAGGCAUCACGCAUAGAGCAAGCGAAGAUGCAUGAAGACCUGGUCGCCUCUCAGGCCAGGAAUGAAGAGCUCAACAAAGUGACUGAGGAGUUGCGUCAAGCUCUUCAGGAGCAGAGAGGACGCCCAGUUAUUGAAGAGGUCGCGCCGUCGUCGCCACCGCGCGUUUUCCCUAUGUCGUUUGCUCAGGCGAUCACAAACACGCCUAUCCAUGCGAGCGUAGUACCUGUGAAAGCUUCUUUCACUGGCGUGGAGGACCCUGAGGCACAUCUCACUACGUUCCACACACAGAUGAUGCUGUCAGGAGACUCGGAUGCUGUAUAUUGCAAGAUGUUUGUGAGCACGCUCCAGGGAACAACGCUGGAAUGGUUUGUGAGCUUGCCUACAGGUCACAUAACCAACUUUCAGCAGUUUUCGAAUCUUUUCGUCGAGCAGUACAUUGUGAACAAGGCACCACCUAGGGUGUCUUAUGACCUGUUCGACAUAAGGCAAUACCAGGGAGACUCCCUCAGGGACUAUUUGAAUCGUUUUGGAGCACAGAUGGUCCGCUCGCCUGCCAAAGACGAGGAGAUGCUGGUAUACACCUUCAAAAAGGGCGUGCUGCCGGGACCUUUCUGUGAGGUGCUGAUUAGGGCUCACCCCGCCACGUUUGCUGAAGUAAGGCGACUUGCGAUGGCCCACAUCGCCGACGAGAGUGAGGUCGCCGAGAAGAGAGGGAGCGUGGCCCCUACUAGGCCACGUGCCCAGACUAGAAUCUAGCCGCAGAGGGUGCUAGAGACGAUGGCGGCCAAGAAGGAUCAAAGGACUCGCCAUCCUUAUGAUCCAAGAAAAAACAAGGGAAGGGGCCUAGGGCGCCCCAGGGAGUACAAUUGCCCACCAAAGUACAAGUUUGUCUUGGGGUUGGCGGAUCUGAUCGCCAUUCCCAACAUAGCGGCCAGGCUUAAGGCGCCGGAGAAAGUGGGCGACAAGGUGUUAGGACCAAAACCAAACGCCUGGUGUUAGGACCAAAACCAAACGCCUGGUGUGAGUUCCACCAGAGUUUUGGUCACACAGUGGAUUCGUGUUUGGCCCUGGGAUACCAGCUCGACAAUCUGGUCAAGAGCGGGUUUAUGAACGAUUACCUGCUGGACAAGAGGACGGGAGGUGCGUCGAGCUCCCAGCCGGCGGGUGGUGAGGCUCAGCAGCAUGAGAUGCCCACCCAUGGCGAGAUCCACACCAUCGCUGGAGGUUUCUCGGGUGGUGGAUGCACUGCAUCACAAAGGAAGAAAUACGCAAGUUCUGUGAUGACGGUGGAUAUGUUCGAGGACCACUCGCCAGAUGUGGACAUCACGUUCACGAAGGAGGAUCUUCGGGACGUUGUGCCUCACGACAACGAUCCCAUAGUCAUCUCGAUUGUCACAACGGGAAGGAAGGUCCACCGGGUACUGGUGGACCAAGGAAGCUCGACGGAUGUAAUGUUCUGGCCGACUUUCACACAGCUGCAAUUACCCCUUGACCAGCUAAGACCCUAUGGAGGGUGCUUGUAUGGGUUCGCUGGCGAUCAAGUGGAGGUCAGGGGGUACAUCGAGCUAAGAACAACGUUCACGAAUGAGGUGGCCUCGAGGACGGAGAAAAUCAAGUACCUCGUUGUGAGUGCCCCCUUAGCAUAUAACAUUCUGUUGGGAAGACCAACCCUCAACAGAAUAGGAGCUGUGCCCUCAACUAGGCACAUGAAGGUUAAGUUACCAUCGAUGGAGGGGGUGGUGAUCACCAUCAGAUCUGACUAGAAGGAGGCGAAGAAAUGCUAUGAGAAUAGCCUCAAGAACAAGAGGUCAGUAAGUUACAUCACCACGACGCCGCCUCCCGGUGUGAAACCCAAGCCAACAGAAUGGCGAGUUGUUGAUGCGGCGAUGGAAGUGGCCGUCGGAGGCGAUGUCACCAUGGUGGAUGCUGAGGUUGAGGGAGAGAGCAGCAGACAGGAAGAAGAGGGGAGGAACCACCCAGAGGAAGCGAGGGAAUUGGGAAUCGCCAGGGUCGUGAUCGCCAGGGAAACCAGACCCAAACCCGUCGAGGAGUGGCUUGAAAGGGAGAUCGGGGGAAAGGUCUUCAAGCUGGGAAGAUCUUUGGAGGCUGAGCUCCAAGACCAGAUCGCCAAGGUGAUAGAACGGCAUCUGGAUGCUUUUGCAUGGUCAGCUUCAGACAUGUCGGGAAUUGACCCCGAUUUCUUGUGUCACCAUUUGGCAAUGGACACACAAGUCAGGCCAGUGCGGCAGAGAAUAAGGAAGCUUAACGAGGAGAGGAGGCAGGCGAUCAGGGAUGAAACACAGAAGCUCUUCGCCGCAGGCCAUAUCCGGGAGGUCCAGUACCCUGAGUGGUUGGCUUAUGUCGUGCUGGUGAAGAUGAGCAAUGGGAAGUGGCGCAUGUGCGUCGACUUCACUGACCUGAACAUGGCUUGCCCAAAGGAUUCGUAUCCUUUGCCAAGCAUAGAUGCCCUGGUCGACAGUGCAGCAGGGUGCAAGUUGUUGAGUUUUCUGGACACCUUCUCGGGGUAUAAUCAGAUAAAGAUGCAUCCUAUGGAUGAAGAGAAAACUGCCUUCAUGACUGAGAGGUCGUGCUACUGACAAGGUGAUGCCUUUUGGGCUGAAGAAUGCGGGGACCACGUACCAUAGAUUGAUGGAUAAGGUACUUGCAUCAAUGCUGGGAAGGAAUGUGCAAGCGUACGUAGAUGACAUGGUCGUGACCUCGUUAGAGAAGAGCAAGCACGUCUCGGAUCUGGAGGAGUUGUUCACCACGAUUGCCAAGUUCAGAUUAAAGUUAAACCCCGAGAAGUUCAUUUUCGGCGUGGAGGCAGGGAAGUUCUUGGGGUUCCUCUUAACUGAAAGAGGAAUAGAGGAAAAUCCUGAUAAGUGUGCUGCCAUAUUGGUGAUGAGGAGCCCGGUUACCGUGAAGGAGGUGCAGCAACUUACAGAUCGGAUGGCCGCCCUGUCUCGUUUCGUAUCAGCUAGCGGAGAGAAAGGCCAUCCGUACUUCCAAUGUUUAAGGCGAAACAACAAGUUUGUCUGGUCGAAGGAGUGUGAAGAAGCCUUCGUGAAGCUUAAAGAGUACUUGGCGAGCCCGCCGGUUUUGUGCAAACCCCUAGUAGGAACCCCUCUCAGGUUGUAUUUCGCUGUGACUGAGAGGGCGGUGAGUGCGGUGCUUGCCCAAGAUCAAGACCAGGCUCAGAAGCCUAUUUAUUUCGUCAGCAAGGUUUUGCAAGGCCCAGAGGUGAGGUAUCAGGCAUUGGAAAAAGCUGCACUGGCUGUAGUAUUUUCGGCGAGGAGGUUGCACCACUAUUUUCACAGUUUUACAGUGCUGGUGAUGACCGACUUGCCCAUCCAGAAAGUCCUGAAGAAGCCUGAUGUAGCUGGGAGAAUGGUGAAGUGGGCGGUGGAGCUGUCGGAGUUCGACAUCAAAUAUGAGCCCCGAGGUCCGAUCAAGGGGCAGAUUUUCGCUGAUUUUGUGGUCGAGCUCUCGUCAGAAGCAGCACGAGUUGAAGGGGAUGAUUUUCGUUGGGUGCUCUCGGUGGACGGAUCGCCAAACCAGCAGGGUAGCGGUGUUGGAGUCAUUCUAGAAGGGCCCAACGACGUGCUGAUAGAACAGUCCCUUAGGUUUUCCUUCAAAGCCAGCAACAAUCAAGCAGAGUAUGAAGCGUUGAUCGCCGGAAUCUUGCUGGCCAAGGAGAUGGGGGCUAGGGUGUUGAUGGCUAAUAGUGACUCGUUAUUAGUUACGGGACAAGUAACAGGCGAGUUCCAGGCCAAGGAUCCACAAAUGGCGGCUUACUUGGAGUAUGUGCAGGAGUUGAAGAGUUCCUUUGUCUCAUUUGAAGUGGUGCAUGUGCCCAAAGAGCAGAAUGCCCGAGCAAACUUGCUAGCCAAGCUCGCCAGUUCGGGCAAGGGGGGUAGGCAGAGGACAAUGAUCCAAGAAACUCUGAAGACGCCUAGAGCAUUUGUGGCAGACCACCUGGUUCUUCAGAUAAGCAAGUCGACGGAGAAAGCGGCGAGGAGUCACAGGUCCUUGACCCAGGAGACUUUAAGAUCGCCGAGAAUAAGAGCAUGUUGGGGGGAGAGGGUGAACAUGACGUAGGUCUGCGCUACGCAUGAGCCAGACACAUGGAUAACACAGUACCAGUGCUGCCUGGCAGAUGGCCUUCUCCCGCUGGAUCCGAUGGAGGCUAGGAAGAUAAAGAAGAACUCCAGCAAGUUCACCAUGAUAGAUGGCGAGCUGUAUAGGUUUGGGUUUACACACCCACUCCUAGAAUGUGUGCACGGAGAAAAAUGCACUAGAAUCAUGGCCGAGCUCCAUGAAGGGAUAUGUGGAAGUCACGUCGGGGGUCCAGCUCUGGCUGCAAGAACUCUCCGUGCAGGUUAUUACUGGCCAACGAUGAGGGAGGACUGCAAGAAGUAUGCACAGUGUUGCAAGCAAUGUCAGCAGCACGCCGAUUGGCACAAGGCGCCUCCAGAAGAGUUAAAGUCAAUUUACAGCCCUUGACCGUUUCAUACGUGGGGAAUUGACAUCCUGGGACUGGGACCUUUCCCAUUGGCGAUCAGGUAGAUUAAGUACUUGGUGGUGGCGAUUGAAUACUUCACCAAGUGGAUCGAAGCAGAACCAGUAGCCCAGAUCAUCGCACACAAGAUUGAGAGCUUUGUAUGGAAGAACAUCGUGUGCCGGUUUGGUGUGCCUAAGCGCCUGGUGUCAGACAAUGGGACUCAGUUUGCAAGUCACAUACUGAAAAAGCUGUGCGAAGAGGUGGGAAUUCAGCAGGUGUUUGCAUCCGUCGAGCACCCUCAGACAAAUGGCCAAGUAGAGUCCGCCAAUCGGGUGAUGCUAAAAGGCUUGAAGAGAAGGCUAGAGAAAGCCAAGGGAUCGUGGGCUGAAGAGGUGCCCUGCAUAGUUUGGGCGUACCACACCACCGAGCAGUCAGGAACCCACGAGACCCCGUUUAGCUUGGUCUAUGGAUGUGAUGCAAUGAUUCCAGUGGAAAUCCAGGAGAGCUCGCCAAGAUUUCAGAAUUUCGUGGCGGAAGACUCAAACGAAGAAAGAAGGUUGAAUCUGGAUUUGCUGGAUGAGGUCAGGGAGGAGGCAAGGGUAAAGGCUGAGGCAGUGAAAAGGAGGAUUGAGCGAAGGUACAACUCGAAGGUGAUGCCAAGGCAGUUUAGAGAGGGCGACCUGGUGAUGAGGAAGGUCCACCAGUACGAGAUGGAAAACAAGUUAUCGCCUAAGUGGACAAGACCGUUCAAAAAUAAACGAGGCGCUCGGGAACGGCGCCUACCGCUUAGAGACAUUGGAAGGAGGGGCGAUUCCUCGCACUUGGAACGCCACACACCACAAGUUAUAUUACAGUUAAAGCUUUGUAAGUAAAAACGAACAUGAAGAGAUUUGCAAGCUUUCUGUUAAAACAGUUUGAAGGGGCACUCUUUUUUUCCUAAGGAGGGUUUUUAAUGAGGCCACCCAAUAAAGAAGAAUUUUCAAAGAGCUUAAAGCUUCUAAAGAUUGCAUGCUUGUUGUUUCGAAAGUUUUAGAAAAGAGACCUUAUCACUCGUACGUGAUUCAAGGCAAGUUUAAAGUUACGCUGCAUGCUUUCUAUGAAAAAGUUUUAAAGUCCCCAUCGCUUUUUGGCGAUUGGCGGCAUCAGUUAAAGUUUUAAAGUCCUCAUCGUCUUUCGGCGAUCGGAGGCACCAGCGACGACUAAAGACCUCAGCGCUCUCGUGCGUUUGGAGGCAAGAAAAGAAAAGACCUCCUCACCCUCGAGCGAGUGAAGGCGAGAAAGAGUAAAAGACCUCCUCGCCCUCGAGCGAGUGCAGGCGAGAAAGAGAAAAAGUCCUCAGUGCAUCCAGGGGGAGGAGAUGUACAACCUGGGCAAGUUGAGGCACCAGAUAAAGUCCUUCUCGCCGUUGAGCGAGUUCAGGCAAGAGAAAGUCCUUCUCGCCGUCGAGUGAGUUCAGGCAAGAUAAAGUCCUUCUCGCCGUCGAGCGAGUUCAAGCCAGAUAAAGUCCUUCUCGCCGUCGAGCGAGUUCAGGCAAGAGAAAGUCCUUCUCGCCGUCGAGCGAGUUCAAGCCAGAUAAAGUCCUUCUCGCCGUUGAGCGAGUUCAGGCAAGAUAAAUUCCUUCUCGCUGUCGAGCGAGUUCAGGCGAGAAAAAGUCCUUCUCACCUCAGAGUGAGUUUAGGCAAGAUGAACUGAAAAGUCAGGGGUGUUCGUGACCUUAAACGGCGGGAAGGGAAGGAAAACGCCUUUCCCCUUUUAAGUGAAACAUCAAUAUUGACUUAGUAAGACCAGAGAAAACUUCCACGCCUGUAGGCGGUGGGAGGGCAGAUAAAAUCCUUCUCGUCCUGAACGAGUUCAGGUAUGGCGUGAAGGGUGAAAGAGGUUUAAGAGAUAGCUAAGGUAAGUUCAAAGAGAACACCUCGUUAUCCAGUUCUUUGUUCUGAAACUCAGGGAAGUAGAGAAGGAUCCGAAAGGCGCCUCUACCCCCAGAUGAGGGAACAAUAGUCGAGCGAUGAAGGCAAAGAAAGCCUACAUCGCCAAAACCCUACGGCAAUCAGAAGAAUACUAGGCGAUGACGAGCGUAAAGGCUAGCCUUGCCGGACAGAUCAGGUAAACUGUAUUGUGAUGCAAGUUUAAGUUAAAACCUGCUGCCUAGUAAGUAACUUAUUGCCUUAAGUUUGCAAGUUACGUUAAAUGUCAUCGUUUGAAAGUUGAUAGUUGCUCAGAUUUUACUUUGAGUUAACAGUUCGAUAAAUUGUUAUGAGAUUAACAGUUUGCUCGAGUUCAAAGCAGUGAACAGUUAAGCCUGAAGAAUCGCUAAGUCAAUUUGUUUAAGCGAGUUCUACUGGUUAUGUUGGUUAAUCACACAGCGAGUAAGAAGCGUUUGAGGCACGGUAUUAGACAACAAAUAUCUUAAGCAGAAGGAGUUAUAUAAAGCAAUGUCAGUUCAAAUACAUAAAAAGAAAAAUUACAUGUAAAGUUCGUACAAGCAGAAAUAAGCGCCAAGUUUCAAAAAACAAGUGAUAGAGGGAGGUGAUUAAUCUUCAGAGGGCACGAUCUUCCCAUCCACCACUUCGUUGCAGAUUGACACCAUGGAGAGAUCGAGCUCGGGAUAUUGACACGAGACUUGCUCCAAAGCGGCGUCGAACCCGGCGGAAAGGACUUGGGCGGAGCUUUGCUCGAGCUCUUGAGCCUGCUUCUUCAGCUCGUCAGUUUGCUUCUUCAGUCCUUCGUUUUCUUCACGAGCUCGAGCAAGCUCUUCAGCAGCUUUCUUGUUUUCCUCCCGAGCCUGGGCCAACUUUGCAGCAAUCCUCGCGUUUUCCUCUUGACCUUUGCCGAGCUCAGCUUUGGUGUCGUCCCUCUCCUUCUCGACUUUCCCGAGGAGCACCUCCCGAUCUGCUGACCUCUUUUCAAGGUUCUCCACCUUGGCCGCAUCUGCUUUCAUUGCAGCCUCCAAGUUGGCCACCUUGAGCCUAUAAGGCACAAACUUACUCUCCAGCUCGAUUUUCUCUUGAAUUUGGAGGUGCAGUUUUUGGCGCAGAUCGGAGACCUCCUUGUGCGCCUCUUAGUUCAGCAUCCAUGGCGUCCUCCAGCCUUUUGGUGACGAGGCCGUCCUCAGUCGCCUCGUCAUCCUCUUCUUCCUGUACCACUUGAGGAGUUUUCCUCUUUGGCUUCCUCAAGACAAGUGUUUUUCUUUGGGGGGCGGGUAGUGUCUCCGAAGGAGUUAGACCUUGGGAAGGAGUUAUGCCCUGAGCAACGACGAUCUCCACCACCGAGUUAGGCACGGUUUGGGAACCUGUCGCCAACUUGUGAGAUCGGGCGAUCACCCUCAGUUCAGCUAGUUUACCUUUGUCCAACAUGAAGUCUGCACAGGGUAGAAAAUAGAUGAGUAAGCACAAAAGCAAAAGCAAGAUAUACAAGUAUAUGCACGCAGGAAUAACGCAAGCAAGUGGCACAUGGAUUCAAAAUCAAGACCAAUGCAGAACAAGCAGAACGCCGAAGGAUGGAAUGGUAGGAACGUUGAGUUAGUUCCAACACAAAACAAGAGUCUUGGUGCUGGAGAAAGGGCUAACCUAUGUGAGCUUCAAGUUGGCCCUCGAAGAACUCGAAGGAGAUGAUUGAGGCGGUAGGGAAAGUGAUGUUGGCAGCUGCUACGCUCUUCCAGAAAAGGCAGAGAUCUUUGUCUAGCUCGCCCAUGUUGUCAGGACUCCUUGGCCUCCUGAAGCAUUCCUUGGAGUCUUUGUUCCCCUUGUGUACCCAGUACAAGGGGAAACCGUCGAGCAGUGAGGGAUCUUGCUCGUUUGGGCGCACCUUGAUGAACUUUCCUUUCAAGUCUUUGUAAGAUUGUUGGAAGAUCGAGAGGAUUGACCUCCCAGCAAUCCCGUUUAAGCUAAUCCAGAGGCGGUCUCCUUGGCGGGGUUACCUGAGCGAGGUUGGCGUGAGAAGUUGCAGGCCUCUCAGCCUGGGUAGAAGGAGCACCAGAUGCUCGUGGUGGGUUACGCGCUGGUGGAGGAUUUGCCCCAGGAGCAACCCUACGUGCUUGGGGUGGAGGGUUUCGCGACGAAGAAGGAGGGUUCGCGGUGGAUUUUGUGUGAGUCAUCGCAGGAACUGCAAAGGAAAAUGAAAGGGAUGAAACAAAGCCAACAGAACGACUCGAUUGAGAACAAAGAAGACAGAGCGAACGAACAAGAGUUCGUUGGGAUGAACGUAACGAAGAACGAAGCCCUAAGCUACGAGAGAAGGAGAAAGGGAAAAACAGCCCACAACGUAUGCUUCAGACAGAUAAUGGAUGAUGCGAAUCGGUUAAAAUGCAGCAAAUAUCAACCGAAGAAGUAAAAGGGGUACCUUUUGAUGAUCGGAUGAGCGUUGAAGAGAGUUGGAGAUUGAGAGAGUUGAGAAGCUUCGUGGGUUCGCAGAGAAAAACUUAGAGCGUUCGAGAAUGCAGAAAGAUGAUGGAACAGUGGAAGUGCAAGGGGUUUAAGGGUUUUUCGAACGUUUUCGGAAGCGCAAACGACAACUGAAGAUGACUGUUGAUGGAGCCACGUGUCAAGCGAUUGGAAAAAGGGGUUUGGUGGAGCGUCGGAAAAGCUGAGGGUACGGACAUUUGGAAUUCCGUGCCAGCGCCACGUAGAUCGACGGUGAUGUGACCUCUUAGUCUUUUCGCUGGACAAGUCUUCGCUUAAGACUGGGGGCCUUGUGUACCCACCAGGUAGUCGGGAGUGAUGACGUGGCAGUAAGCGAUAAUAUAGGCGUGUUGAGCGGAACACCUGGCUGACGGAAGGGAAGGACAUCGGGAAGUUCGUGUAGUCGCCAAUCGUUAAGUUGGCGUGCUCCGAUCUCUAGCAUAUCUAAACCGGCGGUCACCAGGCUUAUGUCGUAGUCGCCGUAUGUGAGCGUAGGCGACCAAGUGGUCAGAGGUCGCCGAGAGGGGGACAUCGCCGAAAGAUCAGGAAAGCUUGUUCAAGGCUUUCAAGGGACACGAGUACGACGGAGAUUUGAAGCCAGGGAACAGUUUACCAGAACAUGCACGAUCAGCAAGUAAUGCAGAUCGUGAUAGCGGCAGGCGAGACCACAGAGAAGGUGUGCAUUGUGACACCCCGUGCUCGCCAUUAGAAGAGAUCGCGCUCCAAGGCAGCUAUGCACCGAGUUGCUCCUCACCUAAGUAACUUAGUCGAACAGCCUGAAGAGUAGAAGUGGCGCUCAAGCAGAAGACGUUCCAGAUGGUGACACGUGUACAGCUGGAUGCGAGCCACGUGUCCAGAGGUGUAACCGUCAGGAGAGAGAAAAUGCACGGGUAUAUAAGGAACUCUUAACAGAUUCUGAGGUACGCGCGUUUAGAACACUUCUCUACGCUUUGAGAAUACUUGAGUACGCUGAGAGAGUUUUUGCACGGUUCCUUGAGUUUCUAGCUUUUCUCUCUUAGAGUUUUGGUGAUUCUGUCACUGACUUGAGCGUCGGAGCGCGAUUGGCCGCAGCGGCGCCACUCUGUCUUUUGCAGGUUCUUGAGGAGAAUCGAGGUGUGAAGGACGGAAGCUAGCGUGGUGCAAAGCCGAUCCAGAGGAAGAUACCUUUGACGUGGCAAGACUCUUGCGCUCUGGUCAACCGGCAGGAUCAAAAUGCAUAUCCAGUUGAAAGUAUUUGGUCCUGGAGUGCAUAAUUGGGUUAGCACUUAAGAGAACAACUCCCAAAUUAUCAGAAAAAAAUUUAGGUAAAGAAGGGUGAAUGUGUAGCUCAUUGAGUAAAGAUAGAAGCCAUAUAAUAUCUACUAAAAUUCCCGCAAUGCUUUUAUACUUAGCUUUUGUACUGCUUUGUUACACAACUUUUUUUUAUGAGAACUCCAUGAUAUAAUGUUUGAACCAAGAAAAAACGCUUAUCCUGUCGUUGAUUUUCUAUCAUCCAGAUCUGUGCCCCAAUCAGCAUUAGCAAAACCAAGGAUGGAGGACUGAGAACUGCGUUUGAUAAGAAGGCCAUGAUUGGUGGUACUAGCAAAGUAGCGAAGAAUUCUUUUGACUGCUUUCCAAUGAUGAUCUUGUGGGUUAUGCAUGAACUGGCAUGCUUUUUUCACUACAUCAGAUAAAUCAGGUCGAGUGAUGAGAAUAUAUUGUAAAGCUCCUACCACAGAUCGAUAUAAAGUAGCAUCUAAAACAGCAGUGGAGCCAUCCUGUUGAAGGCGAAUAGUAGACAACAUAGGGGUUGGUUGAGCUUUUGCAGUGGCCAUAUCACUACAUCGCAAAAGAUCGUUGAUAUAUUUAGGUUGAGAAAGGUGAAGACUUCCAUCAAUAACCUUUGAAACUUCAAUGCCAAGAAAGUAAUGUUGUGGACCGAGAUCCUUAAGAGCAAAUCUGGAACUUAAAUGAGAAAGAAGAGAUUUAAUGGCAUGCGUAGAUGAUCCAGUGAUGAUUAUAUCAUCCACAUAAAUGAGCACAAAUAACGUAGAAGUAUUAGUAAACUGAAUAAACAGAGAAGUAUCACUUUUUGUAGAAUGAAAACCAAGAUCUUUAAGAGUACAACUUAGCUUAGUAAACCAGGGUCGUGGUGACUGUUUUAAACCAUAUAUAGCUUUAUGUAACUUACAAACAAGAGUAGAAUUAGAGGAUUCAAAACCUGGAGGUUGAUUCAUGUAGACAUCUUCUGUGAGAUCUUUAUUAAAAAAUGCAUUAUUAACAUCAAUUUGAUGUAUAGGCCAAUUGUUAGAAACAACAUGAGAUAACACAACUCUAAUGGUAAUAGGUUUGAUAACAGGGCUAAAAGUUUCAUUAUAGUCCAAACCUAGAGAUUGGAUGAAGUCUUUUGCCACUAACCGUGCUAUAUGUCGUUGAAAUGUACCAUCUGCAUUGAACUUGUUUUUGAAAAUCCAUUUGCAACCCACAACUUUAACACCAGAGGGCAGAUAAGUGAGACUCCAUGUUCUAUUUUGAAGAAGAGCUCGAUAUUCAUCUUGUAUAGCUUGUAACUAAGAUGAGGAUGAUAAGGCAGCUUUAAGAGAGACUAGUUCGUGAGCAUAAAAGACAGUAGUUGUAUAAAUCUUAGGUUUAAACACUCCAGCUUUGAAUCGAGUUAUCAUAGGAUGAGCAUUGUCGAUUAUAGGAGGAUCAGUGGAAACCUCAUUAAUAACAGAAGAAGGAAAAAAAGUUUAUGAGGAUAUAAAUGGUGUAGUGUGUCAGUUUCUUGAAGCAGAUAUGUUUGGUUACUUGAUGUUUCACAUAGCAAUCGUUAGGAAAAAAAUUCAAAGUAGACAUUAUUAUCUUUGGCAAACUGAGAUACACUAAGUAAAUUUUUUGUGAUGUGAGGAACAUGAAGAAGAUUUCGUAAGAUAACAGCUGUAUUAGUGUGUGAUGAAGUAUAUUUCGCAGUACCAAUAUGUGGAAUACGCAUACAUGUACCAUUACUAAUUCGAACUUGAUCAGCACCUUGAUAGGAGGAUUUAUUGAUAAAGACUUCUGAAUCAUUUGUGAUAUGAUGGGAUGCCCCACUAUCAGGGUACCACAGACGAUCAGUUAUGGUGGAUGGUGCUCCAAGAAUGGAGGAUUGUUCAUCUAGGUGAGAAGGAAAUUGAGACAUGUUAGCAGUUAAGGAAUUUUGUUUAGACUGAUCAUACCUUUGCCAACAAUGAAGCGCUGUAUGACCAAUUUUGCCACAAAUCUGGCACGAAUGUUUAACGGUGUGCCAAGGCAUAUUGAAAUUUGAAGCAUUGUCGUUGGGAAUACGAGCUUUGGUAAAGCGAUUGGAGCGGGAAUAACCAUGGUUUCUUGAAGGCAUACGUCCACCACGAGAAGAAUUAGGGUUAAACCGAGAACGAGAAUUUGUAGGGUUUGUAAUAGUGACAUUUCCUGAAACAGCAUUGGCUUGGAGAAGAGACGGUUGAAUUUUGUGCUUUUCAAAAUGCUCUUCUUGAGCAAGGAGCAAGGCUUCAAGGUCAUCAACACUAUAUGGAUCUGUGCGUGAUAAAAUUGAUGUAAUGAAACCAUCAUACUCAUCGGAGAGGCCAUCAAGAAUCGCUUCGAUGUGUUCCUCGGUGGAGAUAUCAGCACCGACCGCUGCCAAAUUAUCUACAGUUUUCUUAAUAUCCAGAAGAUAAGUGGAUACAAACUUAUCAUUUUUGGGGGUUUUAAGAAUAAGCUUCAAUUUCUUGAUUGUUGCCCUGGUACGAGAUGCGUAUGAAGUGCAAAGGCGUUUCCAAAUGUCAGUGGAUUUCUCGAGACCAACCAUCUUCGUGAGAACUGUGGACGUCAUCGACGCAAGGAGGCAGGCAACAAUAAGGUGAUCUUGCUGGGUAUAGUGAAGAUAGUCAUCGUUAGGUUUGAAAAGUUGACCACGGUAGGUAUCGAUCAGGGACACCACUGGCGUCAAGAAAAUGUUCAAGAUUAAGACCCUAAUUGUAGCCAGAACUUGCUGCUUCCAAAGAAGAAAGUUGUCAUUAUCUAGUUUUAGACUGAUGGGAAUAAUGAGCUGAUGUGGGAGAAGAGACCCCAUGGGAAAGGAGGAAGAUGAAGAAUUGGUGGUGGAAGAUGUAGAAGAAGAAGAAGUAGUAGCGGAAGACAUGGCUGAAGAAAAAAAAUUCAACUCUGGAUACCAUAUGAGGAAAACAGAGAGGAAGAAACAGAUUUCAGAAGCUAAAAACAAUAAUUCUGUAUAUUAUCAAAAUAUAUCACCAAGGGUAUAUUUAUAGAAUACAACAAUACUGUAUAUUCAGAAAACUAAAUUCAACUUAUAAAUAUCCCUAAAUACCCCUGUAUAAGGCAAGCAUUAGAUGGGUUCACAUACAUACUUAAUAGGAGCAAAGAAAAUUUAUGAUAACUACAAGAAAUCGAGCCAGCGGAUUAGAAGAAGCAAUGGAAAAUGUGCAUGUAGCCUUAUUCACGGCUUUUCAAAACAAAGUGGUUGACGGAGGAGUGAGGAGAAAAUCCAUGUCGUCCAGAACGAGAACGAGGAUUUGAGAAGAAGAUUAACCGAAAGGUUGCCAGCACCCCAAAGCAACAAAAUCAAUCAGGAGAAAACUUCCAAAACCAUGCCCACCUUGUCCUUGUCUACAACGACCCGACCAAUGAAAACCGCCAGUCAAAACGGUGAGUCCAAGCCCUAUGUCUCGAUAUAUACGUUUAGGAUAGUCGUUGGAGCGUGCUGACACCCUUUUAUUGAUGAAAUCAUGGAAGUCCUCUCGAUUUGGAAAGGGCUGAGGAUGGACAAAUACGACAAAAUGACCGAUUUCGACGAGCACAUUGACAUAUAUGUUAUGCACAUAAGCCUGUACACCGCAAACAACACAGUGAUGUGUAAAGUCUUCCCUACCUCCUUCAACCAUACAAUCGAAGAGUGUCAAACACUAAAGUACAAGAUUGAAAAGGUAAUCCAAGCUAGACAUUUGAAAAUAUUUGUUAAGACCGAAGAGUAUCGAUACAGGACACAAUCCCCUCUAAGGGAAGAAAGAUAAUUGGUGCAUCAAUAGUCACUACCAUGAUAAUGACCGAAGUAACGACGACCAAUCAAGGGUAGCAGAAAGACCAAGGAUGAAAGAGCCUCUGGACGCACCUUUGAGAGAUGUAAUAAACACUAUAUAUAGUGGGAGGAUUAACGGAUAGGGAGUCUCGGCAUCAGCUCGAAAAUGACACCUCCGAGUGGUGCAAUCUGUAAACCAAGUGACAACGUCCCCCCGAAGAAGGCCUCCCAUUAUGUUCACCGAUGUCGAUUUCAAUGGAUUUUACCCACUGUAGGAUGAUCUCAUGGUCAUUACAGUUGAAAUAAAACAAUUCACAAUUAUGAAAACACUUGUGGACCAAGGGAGCUCGGUGGAAAUCUUGUACUGAAAAACGUUUAAGAAGUUGUAGAUAUCUGAGGCCGACAUCUGACCAUACGAUAAGCAAAUCGUGGGGUUCUCGGGUGAAAGGGUAGAUACCAAAGGGUAUAUCGACUUGUUGAUGACUUUUUACGGCAAGUGCACCACGUUGUCAGAAGUAAUAAUUUGUCCCCCUAAGGACGAAUAUCGAUCCCACAAGGAACAAUUGACUAUUCAAGUACAAUAUUCGCUAAAUAUAAAACAAAAAAAAUAAAAAGUUGGUUUGAAGUUUGUUAUAAUGGCAAUAAUUAAAAAGAAAACAAAUCAAAAAGUAAUUGCUUUAAUUGGAAAAAUAGGGAUUGGAUUUCACCUGUCUCAUUCUUAUGUAUUUUGAUUAGCAUGUUAACAUUAUGUUCUUUGAUUGAAAUUGUUGCCCGUAUUAAAGUCAUUUAUAUCGAUUCCUCGCAUAUAAAAUUCUUAAGAAUGUUCCCUAAAUAUCGAUCUCUUGCAUAUUUAUAAGAACAACUUAGGAUCAUGCUCAGACCUUUAUAACAAUUAACAUUUCAAGUCUAUUUCUAACACUCAAAUAUGUUAAAUAUUGUUGUUUAGGUCAAGACCCUAAAAAUACUUCCCAAUUAGAUUUAAGAUCCUUAAACAUAUCACAAAUAUUUAAAAGCAAAACAACAAUACCAAUAAUCAAUCAAGAACAAAAUAUUAUAUCAUAGUUAAAUAUCACCUUAAUACAUAAGAGUUUGAACAGACUACUCCAAAUCCCAAAGGGUAAAAUUAGCCACGCAUACUUCUAGCACCUUCCAUUCUUCCAAUUGGUUACAAUUCACUCAACGAUGUUUUCCUCUCAACCUGGCACACUAGGGUUGUGCCUAUAACCCCCUAUUUAACCUAAUUCGCUAGGGUUAGGUGACUUCCUGCGUUGCGCUUUGGGCUUGUUCAUAAAAACAUAAAAUUAGCCCAAUUAAUCUAACGCAUUUUCGCUACUGAGUUGAACUUUUUUUCUCUCUUUUAUGCAUUUUGGGCCUUCUAGCUUUCUCCUUUUAUCAUAUAUAAUUUUUCUUUAGUCAAAUCUCCAUUCUUCCCUAGAAACUUGUAAUUAACAACAAAUUUGGAAAUAAAAUGUUCUUAUUCAAUUAAAGAUCAUAAAAAAUGUAAAAAGGUAUAAAUUCAUAAAUUAGGGAUUAUUUUAUAUGUAAAUUAGCAAUUAAUACUCAUAAGUGUCUAUAUUUUAAUAUGAAAUAUUACGGAAAUUAGACACUUAUCACCUGUACACCAUGUUUGGGGAGGGAACCCUAAUUUAUCGAACCAUUAAAAUUUGGUAUCUCAUUGUUGACGCCGACACUUCUUACAAUAUUAUGUUGGGUGGACCCUUUCUAUAUUAGCUCGACGCAAUAGUUUCUAUCCCCACCUGACAAUGAAGUUUUCAUCGACAUCAGAAGAUAUCCUGAUAGUCCAUGUCGACCAAAAGACAGAAAGGGAAUGUUAUGCCGCUAGCCUACGGGUGCGGGUUCCGAUGAGAACUGAAAACCAACAACCAAGCACGAGCAUGAUUGCCACGAUAGAUCUCAAUCUGAGAACGAAGGAUGAAAUACGAAUGCAACCAGACAAUGAAACCACAAUUGUAGAAAUAAGAAGCGAAGGCAUCACGAUGCAAAUAGGCACCUCCUUAGCAACCGUCAAUGGCGAAGUGUUGACCAAAGCUCUCGUCGAUAAUGCCGAACUUUUUACAUGGACAACAGCCCAAAUGUUUGGGACCUGAAUGUUUUCUCUCACAAACUCUUGAUACAAAAAGAUGUUUGUCCCGUGGCACAAAAGAAAAGGAAGCUUGGGGAUGAAAAGAGGGAGGCGGCAAAACAAGAGGUUGACAAACUGUUGAAGGUCAAUUUUAUCACCAAAGCCAAAUAUAGAACUUGGUUGCCAAAUUUGGUUCUGGUCAAGAAGUUGAGUGGGAAGUGGAGAAUAUGCACGAACUACACGAACCUCAAUAAGACUUGUCUAAAGUAUACAUAUCCUCUGUUAAACAUUGAUCGAAUCGUAUAUAGAGCAGCUAAACACAAAAUCCUAAGUUUUCUUGACGCAUACUCCUGUUAUAACCAAAUUCGGAUGCAUCCUAGAGAUUAGGAAAAUACCACUUUCGUGAUGGACAGGGCAAACUUCUUUUAUGAAGUCAUGCCUUUUAGGUUGAAAAAUGUCAGAGCCACACAUCAAAGGUUAAUGGGGCGGAACAUUGAAGUAUGAAGUCUGAAUCCUGCUAAGAACACGUCCAAGAUUUGAAGGAAGUGUUUGAUGCCCUCAAAAGUUAUAACUUAAGGCUUAAUACAAAAAAGUGUACACUCAGCGUUGAAGAAGGAAAAUUCUUAGGUUUCAUGUUGACCCACAAGGAAAUUGAGGCCAACCCUAACAAGUGUAGGGAAAUAGCCGACAUGUGUAGUCUCGCCAACAUGAAAGAAAUCCAAAGACUUAUGGGUAGACUCACUUCACUCUCCCGCUUCAUACCCAAACUAGCCAAGAAGACUCGACCAAUUAUCUUCUUGAUGAAGAAAAAAUCCAAGUUUGACUGGACUGACGUGUGUGAAUUUGUUUUUCUAAAAUCAAAACUACAAUUUAAUCCCACCGGUAAUCCAAAAGCCGAAGGCGGAACACCCUAUCAAGAUAUACCUAGCCGCUUCAGAGGAAACAAUAAGCUCAACCUUACUGCAAUAAGUAAAUAAGGAGAAGAGACCAAUUUACUUCGUAAGUCAGACGUUUCUAGGUGUGGGAACUAGGUACCAAAUGAUUGAAAAAGUGGCCUUCACCAUUGUAACCACGUCGAGGCGGCUAAGACCGUAUUUUCAAAAUCACAGAGUUUUUGUGAAAACAGACUACCCCGUAAGCAAGGUCAUAUGUAAACCAGAUCUCGCGAGAAGAAUGAUCGGAUGGUCGAUCGAGCUAUCCGAGUUCGACAUUAAGUUCGAACCUCAGGGCCUAAUAAAGUCUCAAUGCCUGGUUGACUUUGCAAUAAAAACCGAGCCUAAAGAAACGUGGCGUGCACUAUGGCGAACCAAAUUUCAAGUUCAGUAAAAUGGAAACCUCAUAAUAUUGUUUUUGUCAAAAGAUAACGAUUGACCGAACAUUUCUUUACACUUUUUAAAAAAUCAGCAUUUAAAGUUUUUAUAGGAAGAGCUAAAAGGGGCAAACAAAAAGGAGUGUGGAGUGUCAACUAACGAUAACCACCCCACUGAAAAAGUCGGAUGCACUAAAGUAGUGAAGAAAAAACUAGGGGGUAGGAGACAGCCGCAACAUGUCGCAAAUGAAGCGAGAGGCUUAGUCGCCCACGACUUCAGAUGGAGCUACAUGGGGGUGACGUUCAGCAUAUGAAGAACAUCCAUGGUGAAGUCAUCAAGGGAAAAGUAGAUAUGAAGGUUGGUAAUGAAGCAUGUAUACACAUAGAAGAAGUCGGACUCGACUCUCUCUCGACCAUGACACACAUUGUCAAUUGCAUAACAUCGGUUGGUUGAGAUAAUGUCGACUUCCACAUCCAAACUCAACAUAGGGGACUUCAAAAUGAAGGAUCUAAUCAAAGAGGACCACCUAUAUCGAGAGAAAUGCUCAGUCAGCUUAUUAUCUACCCACUCAUAUCCCGUGCGCAAGGGUAGGUUGUUUUCACCUUGAUCCAUAGCUAAUUGUUUGGCCGAGUCAGGGGCAUCCCCCCGACAUGAACCUCUCUUGGAUUCCAUCUCUCAUGUACUACUUCCUUUGACAACUGAAUGGUUACAAAUCGAAUGGUUACAAUGAAUGUUGAACAAAUCCAUAAGAGUUACAAAUCCCGCCAAGAGGACAAAUCUUCUAGAAACAAUGUGGCUCUACAACAAAAGCUUUAAGAGCGAGGGGGCUAGUGUGCCAUCAAUACCAAUGGCCGAAUGCCACUACCAGGUGUCAUGGCUGAAUGACCACCCAAUUGAAAGACCGAACCCAUGCGAAUGAUAUGACCGAGUCUGUUUUUAGUAAACCAACAACUAAUAUUUUAUACAACGCAAUUAGCCACAUCAAAAAUACAAAAUCUUAUUUUAACACCGAGAUUAACUUUGUGGUCUAUCCUAAUACAAGUCCAAAAUCAAGGAACAAUUAGAACCUUAUAAAUAUGCACUAAAUUAAAAAAACAAAGAUAGACAUAAUUAAACAUUAUUUAUUACUUUUAUCAACUCUAUGCAGAUAGAUUCUAAGUUAACAGAUUUGAGUACCUUUUACAAAUAUUAGUCACCAACUAUCCAAGAUCGAAUACACUACAAAAGAGGACGACGUGACAUGAGUAGUUAGCACCAAUAGAAGCACCCCCUUCCGAUCCAAACAAAAUCACCCCUUCCUUACAAUCCAAACAAAGUCAAAUAAUAAUUUAUGUAAUCCAAAAGAUUACGUAAAGUAAAUUAAUAAACAAUUAUAAGAAAGAACUGACAGCAUCAUCACACCUGUACUUUUGGUAGUUGAUAUAAAAAAUUAUGUAUUAUAUAUUCAAAUAAAUAUAAAAAUACCCAUUGCUUUCACAUGGGAAGGCUUUGACUUUUAAGUAUGGGUAAAAACUAAAUCCACUCCAACUAUAUGAAGUGCCUGUGCAAUAGCCCUUCUCACCUCGUCCCAGUGUUACUGAAAAAUGGAGGUAUCAUCGUCAUCUUCUUCCUCAACAGCAAUACUAUGUGUGGUGACUGUCAUCAUAGCUGUGGGUUCCGUAUUGGCACUGAAGACGCUGAACUCUCUGUGGCUUAGGCCUAAGAGGUUCGAGAAGCUUCUAAGAGCACAAGGUCUUCAUGGAGAUCCCUACUCCCUUUCACCCCCCUCCUCCAACCAAGACCACCCUCCACAAAACAUGCAUCCUUCUCGAUCUUUUGUUCUCUCCGAUGAUGUUGCUCCUCGCGUCUUCUUGCCGGCUUACAACACUGUCGCCAAAUACGGUUCACUUUUCUUUUUAUUUUUCAUUGAUUAUGUAAUUCAAUUUUAAAAGUUGUUUGAAUCGAGGGUUCACUGGUAAAAGAAAAAUGAAUUAUUUGCAGGCAAGAAUUCGUUCUUAUGGGAAGGCACUACACCAAAGGUCAUCAUUACUGAUCCAAAUCACACCAAAGAAGUCUUCAAUAACAUUCAUGAUUUCCAGAAACAGAAGAUAAGUAACAGUGGCAAGUUCUUCUUCUGUGGUCUGAUAAGUUACGAGGGUGAUAAGUGGGCUCAACAUCGAAAGAUUAUCAACCCUGCAUUCAACUUAGAAAAAUUGAAAGUAAGCUUAUUAAUUUAAUUUAUCAAUAAAUAAUAUUUUUAUAGUAUUAUCUAAUUAUAAAUCGAGUUUCUUUCCUGGAAUGGUGCAUUCUCCUUGUUAAUUUCUCAGAUAAAAAAUAAAUUUAUUCUUAUAAUAGUUAAAUAGUGCAACUAAAGCACGAAAUCAAACAACAAAAUUGAAUAGAAAUGAUUGAAAAUGACUUUCCUAUAAUGUGUUUUACAAAGAAAUAGUCCAUGCCCAACUGUAUUUUUUUUCAAUUUUUAUUUAUUUAUUUUUAUUGUCUUUAAAAUUGAUUAGCUAAUUGAAUUGUGAAAAUUUUAACAAAUUUGAUAAAAAUUUUGGUUUAUAAAAUUUUGAAAAAUAUUAUUGGUUUUUUAAUUGAAAAUUUAAUGAAAAAAUAGUGUUAAAAUCUUAAACCAAACAUCGUAAAAGAUAAAUCAUAACUAAAAACGUCACAACUAAAUCCUAACUCGGAAAUCCUAAAUUAAAAGGUAAAAAAGUAGACCUUAAUCGUAAAACAUAAAUCGUAAAAUGUAUAGCUAAAUCCUAACCCGUAUCCUAACUUUAAAGUGUAAACCAUAAAUAUAAAACAUAAUACCUUGAACCGUAAGUGUAAACUCCAACCGUAAAAUUAUUUAAGACAUCAUGAAAUAAGUUCUUUUAACUUUUAAAUUAUGUAAUAAAAAUAACAUAGAAAUUUUGUAAUUUUGAUUACAUAUUGUCGAAUUAUGGAGUAUUAUUUUAUUCAGUUGUAAAAAAAGUUACGCUUUAAGUUUACGGAUUAGGAUUUUAGGGUUAAUGAUUUGGGAUUUACAUUUUUUUGACGAUUUAUGAUUUAGGAUUUAUGAUUUAGGUUUUUAGGUGUGAUGUUUUUUUAUGAUUUAUCUAUAUGGUUUAAGGUUUAAACACUUUUUUUUAAUUAAAUUUUCAAUUAAAAAACCACUAUGUUCAAAUUUUAUCAAAUUUGUUAAAACUUGCAUGACUUCAAUUAUCACGAAUUUUCUAGGAAGUAAUCUUCUACAUGUACGAAUUCAAUGUGUAAUCAAAAUCAUCUUCAAGGUGGAUUAUUUCUAUGCAAAACAUCAUUAUAGAAAAAUUGUUUUCAUGGUACAUGACUUCUUCACUAAUUUUUUUUUAUCUAGAAAUCAUGUAAGUCCAACACCACUUCUGUUGUUUGAUUUCGUGCACCUGAAACAUGAUUUACCUAUUAUGAAAUAAUGUUUUUUCUCCAUAUUAGGAAUAAACAAACUAGACAUUUUUAGAAAAAAAAAACCCUAUAAAUUGACAAAUACAAAAAGUUUGUAUUUUUUAUAUAAAAAUGAUACUAGCUAUGAUUUCUCACUGGUUAAAUUGAUGUAUAUUAUUUAAUUUGUGUUUAACAAUGAAAUAAACCACCUUUUUCUAAAAUCUCAACGUGGAUUGAUACUUAAUUGACAGAAUAUGCUACCAGCAUUCUUCCAAAGUUGCAAUGAUGUAAUUAGCGUGUGGAUGGGAAUGUUGUCAUCCGAUGGAAAAUGUGAGAUUGACGUUUCGCCUUUCCUUCAAAAGCUGACUUGUGAUGUAAUUUCCAGAACAGCUUUUGGAAGCAGCUAUGCAGAAGGAGAAAAAAUAUUUCAACUUUUUAGAAUUCAGGGGCGCCUUAUCAUGACUGCAAAGUACACUAACAAACCAAUAUUGAGGUAAGACCACACUUAUUCUUGGUAUAAUGUGAUUACUAAAUUAAGCAUUUUUAGUUUUAUUGAAAUUGAACUCACAAUGAAUUUCAUAAGAACCUCAGAGAAUCACCCUAAUAGCUAGUCAUUGUAAAUAGAGAUUAAGCUCUCCAUAACAACAAAUCACUGCUAUAAUGAUGACAAAUAACUAUGAAUUACAUACAUAUUUUGAUUUAAGGUAUAUUUGAUAUCAGUUUUCAAAAAAUCUUUGAAAUUCAAGCAAUGUGGUAUACCUAAUGACUAAUACAAGAACUAGAGUUAUUGCUAUCGAAAUUCAACGUGUUAAGAAAUUGACUUAUCGUGGUUUAAUUAAGAAUAAUUAUAAGUCUUAUAAACUAGUCAUUUACUUCAUAAUUGUUAUGCAUGUUUUUAGGCAUAUACCAACACUUGCCAAAAUGAAGAUGAGAGCAGCUGAUAAAGAAAUAAAAAGUUCACUUCGGGUUAUGAUAGAAAAACGAGAGAAAGCCAUGAAGAAUGGUGAAUCCUGCAAUGAAGAUUUAUUAGGCAUACUCGUGGAAUCAAAUCAAAUGGAAAUUCAAGGAAAUGGAAACAAUAACAGUGUUGGAAUUACGAUUGAAGAAGUAAUUACUGAAUGUAAGUUAUUCUACAUAGCAGGGCAAGAGACCACUUCAUCUCUGCUGGUUUGGACAUUUGAUCAUGUUGAGUAAAUAUCCUGAAUGGCAAGUACGAGCAAGGGAGGAAGUUCUUCAUGUUUUUGGAAAAAACAAUCCAAACUUUGAUGGGUUAAGUCUACUUAAAACUGUAUGUAUCACAUGCUUUCAUUUGAUUAUCUUUAUUAUCUAUUAAAAAUACAUUUUCAAGAUAACUUGUGCACAAAUGUUUCUUCCGUAGAUGACCAUGAUUCUGUACGAGGUUCUGAGGUUAUACCCUCCCAACCUUUACUUCAAUCGCACUCUUAAGAAGGACAUGGAACUUGGAAAUCUGUCACUACCCGCAGGAGUAGAUAUCACCAUGCCAAUACUUUUAGUUCACCAGGAUGGUGAUAUCUGGGGUAAUGAUGCAAAGGAGUUCAAACCAGAAAGGUUUUCUGAGGGAGUUGCUAAGGCAACAAAAGGCCAAGUCUCCUUUUACCUAUUUGGACGGGGUCCUAGAAUUUGCAUUGGCCAAAACUUUACUAUGUUGGAAGCCAAGAUAGUUUUGUCAUUACUUCUGCAGAAUUUCUCGUUCGAGCUUUCUCCUGUUUAUGUACAUGCUCCUGCACUUAUGCUUACUUUGCAGCCCAAACAGGGGGCGCCCCUUAUUGUGCAAAAGCUAUGAUAAUUAAUCAUAUUUUGACCCAGAAGGUCAUGGUUUUUAGGUUGAUUGAAACUAUGUAUCUUUUAAGAACUUGUUUGUAAUGCAUGUGUUUGAAUUGCGUCACGUGGUUUAGUUAUAAAGUAUUAUAGGUUGAUGCA